AUGGUGCAAUCUGCAUGUGCUAAACAUGUGGUUUUUGGUAUCCCCACUCCACCAAACAGCGGUAGCGAGCUCUCCAGUUGCAAGAUGAUUUUUUCUGCCAUGCUUGAGAGCACGGCAGGCAGCAAGCGGUGCUCUCCUGAUGACCAAGACCUCGUGUUAAGCAUGAAUAGCACUAGUACUGAAAGUUUAGAGGUUAGGGGUGCUAUGGAUGUGAGUGUGAAUUGUAAAAGAGUGUGUGUUGAGAGAGUUGGUACUGUAGUAGGCAUAGAUGGGUCUACUAUUCAUACUGAAGAAGUAGAUGGGGGAGUGGAGGUGGAUCAGGACAAAAGAAGAGAGUCUGUAGGGGAUUGA
RNAcentral lists this ribosomal RNA (351 nucleotides) under Triticum aestivum (bread wheat). RNAcentral's name for it is "partial small subunit ribosomal RNA". The record is from RNAcentral. Lineage: Eukaryota; Viridiplantae; Streptophyta; Magnoliopsida; Poales; Poaceae.